CUACUUUCUACAUGCCCUUCUAACUAUAUGUCAUUACAGUCCAACCAUCUCCAGUACCAAUUUCAAGAUCUGCUGCAAGAAGUCCCAUGAACCACAUCCAAGAUGGUGUGUUUUCUUUCUAAACCAUAGCAUAUGCGAUGGGAUAUAUACAAUCAUUUGCAUCUAGACCAGAGACCGUGAACAAUAUGCCUCCAAAACAGCCCCACAGGUAGCAGCCAUCUACUCCAAUCACUUUCCUACAACCUUUUAUAAAGCUAGUCUUACAUGGUUGGAAACAAAAGUAUAUCCCCUGGAAAACAUCAUUGAAUGUGUUGGUGGUCACAUUUGAGCUUGGAUUGGUAUACAACACCUCUGAAGCAUAUGACCACAACAGUGCGAACUGCUUCUCAAUUAUCCCAUGCAGCAAAUCAUUUGUGUAUCUUCUCAUUUUCAACGCCACAUUUCUGGUGAUAUCAGUUCUCAAAUUCUCUUUCACUGCAAUCAGAGUUUGGAUCUGCCUUGAACAUCUUGAUGUAACGACGAGUCAAAAACUAGUAACUGCAAUGCCUGUGGUAUUUGUCAUGAUUGCAUGUGUGCUCAAUAGUAUAUGAUUUCACUUGGACACUACCUG
This 610-nucleotide long non-coding RNA is filed under the name Olea europaea subsp. europaea. Lineage: Eukaryota; Viridiplantae; Streptophyta; Magnoliopsida; Lamiales; Oleaceae. The record is from RNAcentral.